CCUACGGGUGGCAGCAGUGAGGAAUAUUGGUCAAUGGGCGAGAGCCUGAACCAGCCAAGUCGCGUGAAGGAUGAAGGAUCUAUGGUUUGUAAACUUCUUUUAUAUGGGAAUAAAGUGAGGAACGUGUUCCUUUUUGUAUGUACCAUAUGAAUAAGCAUCGGCUAACUCCGUGCCAGCAGCCGCGGUAAUACGGAGGAUGCGAGCGUUAUCCGGAUUUAUUGGGUUUAAAGGGUGCGUAGGCGGAUUGUUAAGUCAGUGGUCAAAUUGAGGGGCUCAACCCCUUCCCGCCAUUGAAACUUGCGCUCUUGAGUGGAAGAGAAGUAUGCGGAAAUGCGUGGUGUAGCGGUGAAAUGCAUAGAUAUCACGAAGAACUCCGAUUGCGAAGGCAGCAUACCGGCGCCCAACUGACGCUGAAGCACGAAAGCGUGGGUAUCGAACAGGAUUAGAUACCCCUGUAGUC
RNAcentral lists this ribosomal RNA (460 nucleotides) under uncultured bacterium. RNAcentral's name for it is "partial 16S ribosomal RNA". It matches the Rfam family "Bacterial small subunit ribosomal RNA", at positions 338 to 795 of the family's 1533-position model. The record is from RNAcentral.